This 29-nucleotide non-coding RNA is filed under the name Mus musculus (house mouse). The record is from RNAcentral. Lineage: Eukaryota; Metazoa; Chordata; Mammalia; Rodentia; Muridae.
UGAAUCAUACUUAACUACUUCCUAUCUCC